AGAAUCAACGCUGGCGGCGUGCCUAACACAUGCAAGUCGAACGAGAAAGUGGAGCAAUCCAUGAGUAAAGUGGCGACCGGGUGAGUAACACGUGACUAACCUACCUUCGAGUGGGGGAUAACCUCGGGAAACCGGGGCUAAUACCGCAUAAAAUCUUUGGAUCGGAAGAACUGGAGAUCAAUGGAGCAAUUCGCUUGAAGAGGGGGUCGCGGCUGAUUAGCUAGUUGGCGGGUAAUGGCCCACCAAGGCUUUGAUCGGUAGCCGGCCUGAGAGGGCGCACGGCCACACUGGAACUGAAACACGGUCCAGACUCCUACGGGAGGCAGCAGUGGGGAAUUUUGCGCAAUGGGGGAAACCCUGACGCAGCAACGCCGCGUGGAGGAUGAAGUCCCUUGGGACGUAAACUCCUUCGACCGGGACGAUUAUGACGGUACCGGUGGAAGAAGGCCCCGGCUAACUUCGCGCCAGCAGCCGC
This 475-nucleotide ribosomal RNA is filed under the name uncultured bacterium. Its description in RNAcentral is "SSU rRNA". It matches the Rfam family "Bacterial small subunit ribosomal RNA", at positions 26 to 518 of the family's 1533-position model. The record is from RNAcentral.